AGCAGUCGCCACGGGAAUACGUAGGGUGCGAGCGUUAAUCGGAAUUACUGGGCGUAAAGCGUGCGCAGGCGGUUGUGUAAGACAGGUGUGAAAUCCCCGGGCUUAACCUGGGAACUGCGCUUGUGACUGCACAGCUAGAGUAUGGCAGAGGGGGGUGGAAUUCCACGUGUAGCAGUGAAAUGCGUAGAGAUGUGGAGGAACACCGAUGGCGAAGGCAGCCCCCUGGGCCAAUACUGACGCUCAUGCACGAAAGCGUGGGGAGCAAACAGGAUUAGAUACCCGAGUAGUCCCUGUCUCUUAUAC
Molecule: ribosomal RNA, 303 nt
Filed under: uncultured bacterium
Lineage: Bacteria
Description: partial 16S ribosomal RNA
Rfam family: Bacterial small subunit ribosomal RNA
Source: RNAcentral